RNAcentral lists this ribosomal RNA (425 nucleotides) under uncultured bacterium. Its description in RNAcentral is "bacterial SSU rRNA". It matches the Rfam family "Bacterial small subunit ribosomal RNA", at positions 28 to 433 of the family's 1533-position model. The record is from RNAcentral.
GAUGAACGCUGGCGGCGUGCUUAACACAUGCAAGUCGAACGAAGCACUUUAUUACGAUUUCUUCGGAAUGACGAUUUAGUGACUGAGUGGCGGACGGGUGAGUAACGCGUGGGUAACCUGCCUUAUACAGGGGGAUAACAGUUAGAAAUGACUGCUAAUACCGCAUAAGCGCACAGGAUUGCAUGAUCUGGUGUGAAAAACUCCGGUGGUAUAAGAUGGACCCGCGUCUGAUUAGCUGGUUGGUGAGGUAACGGCCCACCAAGGCGACGAUCAGUAGCCGACCUGAGAGGGUGACCGGCCACAUUGGGACUGAGACACGGCCCAAACUCCUACGGGAGGCAGCAGUGGGGAAUAUUGCACAAUGGGGAAACCCGUGAUGCAGCGACGCCGCGUGAGCGAAGGAAGUAUUUCGGUAUGUAAAGCUC